Small RNA from Bacillus sp. FJAT-27986, 112 nucleotides. It matches the Rfam family "RNA Staph. aureus E (RoxS)". From Rfam's summary of the family: It was shown to be regulated by the presence of nitric oxide (NO). In Bacillus subtilis it controls expression of genes with functions related to oxidative stress and oxidation-reduction reactions and it was renamed RoxS (for related to oxidative stress). Lineage: Bacteria; Bacillati; Bacillota; Bacilli; Caryophanales; Bacillaceae. The record is from Rfam.
GUGAAGUUGAUCACUAGCAAACAUUUACCCCUUUGUUUGACCGUGAAAAAUUUCUCCCAUCCCCUUUGUUCGUAUGAAGAAUAAGACUCUGUCCGAUUACAGAGUCUUAUUC